Molecule: transfer RNA, 67 nt
Filed under: Laevistrombus canarium
Lineage: Eukaryota; Metazoa; Mollusca; Gastropoda; Littorinimorpha; Strombidae
Description: tRNA-Thr
Rfam family: tRNA
About the family: Transfer RNA (tRNA) molecules are approximately 80 nucleotides in length.
Source: RNAcentral
GCAAUUAUAGCUUAAUAUAAAGCAUUGGUCUUGUAAGCCAAAGAUAGAUAUUACUUUCUUAGUUGCU